Molecule: long non-coding RNA, 2458 nt
Organism: Acanthopagrus latus (yellowfin seabream)
Lineage: Eukaryota; Metazoa; Chordata; Actinopteri; Spariformes; Sparidae
Exons: 2
Source: RefSeq, a predicted model, not a curated record
AUUAAAAGUUGUUAUCGUCUUAUGAAUGUACUGUUUACUGUGUAUGGUCAUCACUUCUCUGUCUGUGAUAGUGCAAAAAAAGCACUCGAGCCAGAGUGGUGGUUUUUGUUUUAUUUCAGCAACAUAUUUCAGUAUGAUCAGUAUACACUUAGAUAUUUAAAUAAAUAACAGGUGAUAGUUCACCUGAGGACUUUGACUCCAGUAGUGGUUUUAUGUACAUUUUCCACCACAGAGCAACAUUUUCUUCUCCCAUAGAUAUAAUUUAAUAAUGAUAACGAUGAUUAAAAAUGCUGUUUUUUAAGUCAGCUGUUUUGAACAUCAAACAGUCUCUCGGUGGACAAGUCUGUGGUCUUUUUUUGUGUUUGUUUUUGUUUUUGGAACUGGGGACUGCGUAUUUAACAGCAGCAGCCUCAAGCAAAGCAAUAAAUGGAUGGUCUGAAAGGUAGCCUGCCAGGCAGCCGGUUUUAAUGGAUGGUCCUGUAGGCUGUUUAACCAUGCCAGCUGCCUGAUAAAAAAGCUAAAUAUUUUAGGGGUAGGCAGUACAUCAGUACAUCUCUUGUCACUUCAUUGAUUUUUUUUUUUACAUGGUAAAGCCCCCUUUGAAUAAAAACACUGCUUAAUUUCUCCAUUGCUACCAGCGAUUACUAUGCUGGAAAGUUUCCAAUGUAGAAACACAGUUUUUGUGUUUCUGAAUAGAGAGUAAUUAAACACUAUUGUACACAUUUUCAUGUCAAGAGGUUUAUGACCACCCAAAAGGUUACUUCGGGCCACUCCUCUGGGGACAAUGGGCAGCUACAGUAUGACCACAGCCCAGCUGUAGGCUGGAGAGUAUAAGUGGCAAAAUAAGUUGUUUUUUUUUAAAUUCUUUUUUAGGAGGCAUUUAUUCAAUAUCUGCAGAGUAGAGAUCAAGAUUCAAGGUGAUGUUUUUGUCAUUAUAUAACACAGAGUUGCACAAUGAACAAAUGUCUCUGACAUGCUACACAAACACAGAAUAUAUUAACAGUUAUUAAUAUAUGUAAAUUGCACCCAAGAAAUGAUUCUGUAGUGGCACAGUGGCAACAAGAUGUCAGUGAUAACAUGGUCGGCAUCCCCGCACCAAGAGUUCAAGUUCAGGUAAACACGGAGUCCACCUCUCCUUGUCCCGAGGUAAUCCUGCGCUCUGUACUGCUCAGAACACAUUCCGCCCAUAGAGUGCAACAGCUUGUUACAAGAUGUUUUGGUGGAGGCAGAUCUCUGUCACUGUUUGAUUUAGGCUCAAAUUGUGCACCAGAACCCUGGGAUCACCACGGGAGCCUAUGACUCUGUCGAAGCUUCACAAUGUUCUAUAACACCGACGAUUUGCAACCAACUGCGUUUACAAAAGGUUCCUGAGCCUGUGCAGUGAUGUGUUUCACAAAGUGGUGAACCUCGCCCCAUCCUUGCUUGAGCACCACUAAGCCUUUCGAGGAUGCCCUGUUCAUACCAGUCAAGAUACUAUCACUUGUUACCAAUAUGUUCCAAACAGGUGUUCAAGGAUUCAAUAACUUUCUCAAUUUGUUUGAAAUGUGAUGCUGGCAUUCAUUUCAGAAUGAGCAUAUGUUUACUGAAAAUGGAGUUGCUGAGUCUUUAAUCUGCAUCUGGAUCGACAUAUUGGACAAAACUUUCUUAACCUUCCAGAGUAUUUCAAUUGUGUCAAAUGUUUUUUUUCAAAUCCAUCUGUAGAAUGUAUUAGGGCUCCUUCUUUAAACUUGUUUUCUACUAACACAAUAUUUCUGGGAAUGGAACAGAUGUUUUGGUUUUUUUUUCUUUUUUAGAAAAAAAAAAAAAGUUUAUUUUCGAAGACCUUCAAAAAUCCUCUGUAGCCACGGGCCAACCACUCUUACACAAGGCUGUUUAUGCCAAGAGAACAUUUCCAUUUAUAGCACAUUCUUUUGUAAAGAUAUUUAAUAGAUGUAUUCUCCUCUGGAAAGGUGCAGAGGAGGCACUGCCAAGCACAUUCGUGGCUUCUUUCAGUUGAGAAAAAAGCCAAGAAUGUGUUCAAUUUUUUGUGUAAACUAUCACCAAUUUAGUAAGAAAAUGCUAUGACCUCUUUAAAAAAAAAAAAGAAAAAAAAAUCCAGUAAUUCAGCUCCGCAAGCUAAAAAUGGGUUGUAAGACUGGUUUUAAUCAAGAUUUCAAAAGGGGAGCUUUGAGUUUUCACCUUGAUGUUGUUUAAUUUCCUUUUUUGUUCUUGCAAAAAAAGCCAAAAGUUUUCUCCUUUAGAAAGCCAACACUGAAAAAGACUUGACAUGUUUAGGCAUCGACAAGGUCGUGCUACAACUCCAAGAUGGUUCGGGUUGAACAUUGUUUGUUUUGCGGGUUUGUUCAUUAGCUUGAAUGGCAAUUGUGUAAAUGUAAAUGUGUUUGAUACGUGCACUUAUUGCACCCCCUGGUAUUAACAAUACAACCGAUGCAUGAAAUAAACAAAAGACAGACUAUGA